This 404-nucleotide ribosomal RNA is filed under the name uncultured bacterium. RNAcentral's name for it is "bacterial SSU rRNA". It matches the Rfam family "Bacterial small subunit ribosomal RNA", at positions 355 to 776 of the family's 1533-position model. The record is from RNAcentral.
UGGGGAAUAUUGCACAAUGGGGGAAACCCUGAUGCAGCAACGCCGCGUGAAGGAAGAAGGCCUUCGGGUUGUAAACUUCUGUUAAUGGGGACGAUAAUGACGGUACCCAUAGAGGAAGCCACGGCUAACUACGUGCCAGCAGCCGCGGUAAUACGUAGGUGGCGAGCGUUGUCCGGAAUUACUGGGCGUAAAGGAUGCGUAGGCGGAUAAUUAAGUGAGAUGUGAAAUACCCGGGCUUAACCUGGGGGGUGCAUUUCAAACUGGUUGUCUAGAGUGCAGGAGAGGAAAGUGGAAUUUCUAGUGUAGCGGUGAAAUGCGUAGAUAUUAGGAAGAACACCAGUGGCGAAGGCGACUUUCUGGACUGUAACUGACGCUGAGGCAUGAAAGCGUGGGGAGCAAACAGG